UGGAUCACUGAAGGUAACAAGGCCAGAUCCCUUGAAGUCACAGUUCCAGUAGUUUCUUCCAUGCAUCUGAUAAUAUGCAUUCAUGGCAUAUGAUGCAUGUGCAUGUAACUUAUCAGGUGCAAAGCAAUCUCCAUUUUCAUCGAUCUCCCUGCAAUCAACUCCUCCUGGUCCACAGCAAAAAUCAAUCACAGACUGAACAACCUUAUCAUCUGCAUGUGGUUUAGCCACACACCAAACAGAAGGACCCCUUGCCACACUGGAUCCUUUCUCCCCAAAACCUAGUUUAUUAUCUGCAUUGGUAUGCAUUCAUGGCAUAUGAUGCAUGUGCAUGUAACUUAUCAGGUGCAAAGCAAUCUCCAUUUUCAUCGAUCUCCCUGCAAUCAACUCCUCCUGGUCCACAGCAAAAAUCAAUCACAGACUGAACAACCUUAUCAUCUGCAUGUGGUUUAGCCACACACCAAACAGAAGGACCCCUUGCCACACUGGAUCCUUUCUCCCCAAAACCUAGUUUAUUAUCUGC
RNAcentral lists this long non-coding RNA (520 nucleotides) under Olea europaea (common olive). Its description in RNAcentral is "long non-coding RNA (OEUR_LNC011108)". Lineage: Eukaryota; Viridiplantae; Streptophyta; Magnoliopsida; Lamiales; Oleaceae. The record is from RNAcentral.